Molecule: ribosomal RNA, 649 nt
Filed under: Vibrio nigripulchritudo
Lineage: Bacteria; Pseudomonadati; Pseudomonadota; Gammaproteobacteria; Vibrionales; Vibrionaceae
Description: bacterial SSU rRNA
Rfam family: Bacterial small subunit ribosomal RNA
Source: RNAcentral
CGGGGAACGACAACGGCGUCGAGCGGCGGACGGGUGAGUAAUGCCUGGGAAAUUGCCCUGAUGUGGGGGAUAACCAUUGGAAACGAUGGCUAAUACCGCAUAAUAGCUUCGGCUCAAAGAGGGGGACCUUCGGGCCUCUCGCGUCAGGAUAUGCCCAGGUGGGAUUAGCUAGUUGGUGAGGUAAAGGCUCACCAAGGCGACGAUCCCUAGCUGGUCUGAGAGGAUGAUCAGCCACACUGGAACUGAGACACGGUCCAGACUCCUACGGGAGGCAGCAGUGGGGAAUAUUGCACAAUGGGCGCAAGCCUGAUGCAGCCAUGCCGCGUGUGUGAAGAAGGCCUUCGGGUUGUAAAGCACUUUCAGCAGUGAGGAAGGGUGUGUAUUUAAUAGAUGCACAUUUUGACGUUAGCUGCAGAAGAAGCACCGGCUAACUCCGUGCCAGCAGCCGCGGUAAUACGGAGGGUGCGAGCGUUAAUCGGAAUUACUGGGCGUAAAGCGCAUGCAGGUGGUUUGUUAAGUCAGAUGUGAAAGCCCGGGGCUCAACCUCGGAACUGCAUUUGAAACUGGCAGGCUAGAGUACUGUAGAGGGGGGUAGAAUUUCAGGUGUAGCGGUGAAAUGCGUAGAGAUCUGAAGGAAUACCGGUGGCGA